GAUGUUGUAGUUCAGUGGUAGAGUACAUGCUUUGUAUAUAUGACGUCCUGGGUUCAAUCCCCAGCUUCUCU
Molecule: non-coding RNA, 71 nt
Organism: Dallia pectoralis (Alaska blackfish)
Lineage: Eukaryota; Metazoa; Chordata; Actinopteri; Esociformes; Umbridae
Source: the annotation of a GenBank genome assembly